ACCCAAGGUGAUUCCUCUCCAAGGGGCUUCCUAGUGCCCCUCUUCAGGUAUGUAGCAACUUGGAAUGAAAUCUGGCAUGCCACAGGUUUUAGGGGGAGAGGGGAUGUUUAUUUCCUUUGCCUCCCUUGGCUGCCUACAUGG
Molecule: small nucleolar RNA, 141 nt
Organism: Manis pentadactyla (Chinese pangolin)
Lineage: Eukaryota; Metazoa; Chordata; Mammalia; Pholidota; Manidae
Product: small nucleolar RNA SNORA67
Exons: 1
Source: RefSeq, a predicted model, not a curated record